This 2899-nucleotide ribosomal RNA is filed under the name Klebsiella pneumoniae. Its description in RNAcentral is "23S ribosomal RNA". It matches the Rfam family "Bacterial large subunit ribosomal RNA". The record is from RNAcentral. Lineage: Bacteria; Pseudomonadati; Pseudomonadota; Gammaproteobacteria; Enterobacterales; Enterobacteriaceae.
UUAAGCGACUAAGCGUACACGGUGGAUGCCCUGGCAGUCAGAGGCGAUGAAGGACGUGCUAAUCUGCGAAAAGCGUCGGUAAGGUGAUAUGAACCGUUAUAACCGGCGAUGUCCGAAUGGGGAAACCCAGUGUGAUUCGUCACACUAUCGUUAACUGAAUACAUAGGUUAACGAGGCGAACCGGGGGAACUGAAACAUCUAAGUACCCCGAGGAAAAGAAAUCAACCGAGAUUCCCCCAGUAGCGGCGAGCGAACGGGGAGCAGCCCAGAGUCUGAAUCAGCUUGUGUGUUAGUGGAACGGUCUGGAAAGUCCGACGGUACAGGGUGAUAGUCCCGUACACCAAAAUGCACAGGUUGUGAACUCGAAGAGUAGGGCGGGACACGUGGUAUCCUGUCUGAAUAUGGGGGGACCAUCCUCCAAGGCUAAAUACUCCUGACUGACCGAUAGUGAACCAGUACCGUGAGGGAAAGGCGAAAAGAACCCCGGCGAGGGGAGUGAAAAAGAACCUGAAACCGUGUACGUACAAGCAGUGGGAGCACCUUCGGGUGUGACUGCGUACCUUUUGUAUAAUGGGUCAGCGACUUAUAUUCUGUAGCAAGGUUAACCGUAUAGGGGAGCCGCAGGGAAACCGAGUCUUAACUGGGCGUUAAGUUGCAGGGUAUAGACCCGAAACCCGGUGAUCUAGCCAUGGGCAGGUUGAAGGUUGGGUAACACUAACUGGAGGACCGAACCGACUAAUGUUGAAAAAUUAGCGGAUGACUUGUGGCUGGGGGUGAAAGGCCAAUCAAACCGGGAGAUAGCUGGUUCUCCCCGAAAGCUAUUUAGGUAGCGCCUCGUGAACUCAUCUUCGGGGGUAGAGCACUGUUUCGGCUAGGGGGUCAUCCCGACUUACCAACCCGAUGCAAACUACGAAUACCGAAGAAUGUUAUCACGGGAGACACACGGCGGGUGCUAACGUCCGUCGUGAAGAGGGAAACAACCCAGACCGCCAGCUAAGGUCCCAAAGUCAUGGUUAAGUGGGAAACGAUGUGGGAAGGCACAGACAGCCAGGAUGUUGGCUUAGAAGCAGCCAUCAUUUAAAGAAAGCGUAAUAGCUCACUGGUCGAGUCGGCCUGCGCGGAAGAUGUAACGGGGCUAAACCAUGCACCGAAGCUGCGGCAGCGACACUAUGUGUUGUUGGGUAGGGGAGCGUUCUGUAAGCCUGCGAAGGUGACCUGUGAGGGUUGCUGGAGGUAUCAGAAGUGCGAAUGCUGACAUAAGUAACGAUAAAGCGGGUGAAAAGCCCGCUCGCCGGAAGACCAAGGGUUCCUGUCCAACGUUAAUCGGGGCAGGGUGAGUCGACCCCUAAGGCGAGGCCGAAAGGCGUAGUCGAUGGGAAACAGGUUAAUAUUCCUGUACUUGGUGUUACUGCGAAGGGGGGACGGAGAAGGCUAUGUUAGCCGGGCGACGGUUGUCCCGGUUUAAGCAUGUAGGCUGAUUGUCCAGGCAAAUCCGGAUAAUCAAGGCUGAGGUGUGAUGACGAGGCACUACGGUGCUGAAGUAACAAAUGCCCUGCUUCCAGGAAAAGCCUCUAAGCAUCAGGUAACAUUAAAUCGUACCCCAAACCGACACAGGUGGUCAGGUAGAGAAUACCAAGGCGCUUGAGAGAACUCGGGUGAAGGAACUAGGCAAAAUGGUGCCGUAACUUCGGGAGAAGGCACGCUGGUGUGUAGGUGAAGUCCCUGCGGAUGGAGCUGAGACCAGUCGAAGAUACCAGCUGGCUGCAACUGUUUAUUAAAAACACAGCACUGUGCAAACACGAAAGUGGACGUAUACGGUGUGACGCCUGCCCGGUGCCGGAAGGUUAAUUGAUGGGGUUAUCCGUAAGGAGAAGCUCUUGAUCGAAGCCCCGGUAAACGGCGGCCGUAACUAUAACGGUCCUAAGGUAGCGAAAUUCCUUGUCGGGUAAGUUCCGACCUGCACGAAUGGCGUAAUGAUGGCCAGGCUGUCUCCACCCGAGACUCAGUGAAAUUGAACUCGCUGUGAAGAUGCAGUGUACCCGCGGCAAGACGGAAAGACCCCGUGAACCUUUACUAUAGCUUGACACUGAACAUUGAGCCUUGAUGUGUAGGAUAGGUGGGAGGCUUUGAAGCGUGGACGCCAGUCUGCGUGGAGCCAACCUUGAAAUACCACCCUUUAAUGUUUGAUGUUCUAACGUUGGCCCCUUACCGGGGUUGCGGACAGUGUCUGGUGGGUAGUUUGACUGGGGCGGUCUCCUCCCAAAGCGUAACGGAGGAGCACGAAGGUUAGCUAAUCCUGGUCGGACAUCAGGAGGUUAGUGCAAUGGCAUAAGCUAGCUUGACUGCGAGCGUGACGGCGCGAGCAGGUGCGAAAGCAGGUCAUAGUGAUCCGGUGGUUCUGAAUGGAAGGGCCAUCGCUCAACGGAUAAAAGGUACUCCGGGGAUAACAGGCUGAUACCGCCCAAGAGUUCAUAUCGACGGCGGUGUUUGGCACCUCGAUGUCGGCUCAUCACAUCCUGGGGCUGAAGUAGGUCCCAAGGGUAUGGCUGUUCGCCAUUUAAAGUGGUACGCGAGCUGGGUUUAGAACGUCGUGAGACAGUUCGGUCCCUAUCUGCCGUGGGCGCUGGAGAAUUGAGGGGGGCUGCUCCUAGUACGAGAGGACCGGAGUGGACGCAUCACUGGUGUUCGGGUUGUCAUGCCAAUGGCACUGCCCGGUAGCUAAAUGCGGAAGAGAUAAGUGCUGAAAGCAUCUAAGCACGAAACUUGCCCCGAGAUGAGUUCUCCCUGAGACUUUAAGUCUCCUGAAGGAACGUUAAAGACGAUGACGUUGAUAGGCCGGGUGUGUAAGCGCAGCGAUGCGUUGAGCUAACCGGUACUAAUGAACCGUGAGGCUUAACCU